RNAcentral lists this ribosomal RNA (251 nucleotides) under uncultured prokaryote. Its description in RNAcentral is "partial 16S rRNA". It matches the Rfam family "Bacterial small subunit ribosomal RNA", at positions 525 to 775 of the family's 1533-position model. The record is from RNAcentral.
ACGGGGGUUGCAAGCGUUGUUCGGAAUCAUUGGGCGUAAAGGGCAGGUAGGCGGCUAGAUAAGUCAGUUGUGAAAUGCCAGGGCUUAACCGAGGAAGUGCAUUUGAUACUGUUUGUCUUGAGUAGGGUUGAGGAAGGUGGAAUUCCUGGUGUAGAGGUGGAAUUCGUAGAUAUCAGGAGGAACACCGGUGGCGAAGGCGACUUUCUGACCCUUUACUGACGCUGAGCCGCGAAAGCGUGGGUAGCAAACAG